This 1114-nucleotide long non-coding RNA is filed under the name Sus scrofa (pig). RNAcentral describes it as "lncRNA (ENSSSCG00015064571.1)". Lineage: Eukaryota; Metazoa; Chordata; Mammalia; Artiodactyla; Suidae. The record is from RNAcentral.
GCGGGCGAGGUGACCUCGGGCGGAUUUGCAAGCCCCACAAGUUUCUCCUUUCUCUGCAAAACUGUCGUGAUUACAAUGUUGCUCCCCUUUUGCAAAAUAAAAGUAGGUUAGUUGGAUUGUUUGUCCUUAGAUUUCUAGGGGUUCAUGAAGGAGGAUGUGUAUUUCUCCCUCCCCCCCGCACUGCACACCCCGCGCCCUGUUACUUUUUUUUUCCGCUUCUCUUUCUGGGGAUGGAAAAACAACUUUGGGGCCCCCUGGGGGGUGCCGGCGUGGAGGUGGAGGUGUCCGCUAGGGCCCAGCUGUCAAAAAGCAGUGGGGCGUGGGGGGCAGAGACGACUGGGCAGGGAAACGCCGAGGAAAGGGCGCGAACUUUAUUCCGACUGCUGCGAACCUCGGCGUCGCUUUUCUUUUCGGGCAGUCGCCGGUCUCGGUCCCUUUUGACCAGUUCCUACUCGCGAGCCGCCGCCGCCGCCGCCCCCUCCUCCUUUCCCCUUCCCCUCCUCCUUCGUGCCCGUCGCGCUGCCCCGCACCCGGAUCAGCCCGGGUCCCUGCUCGCUGUCGGGGAGAAGGGAAGGCAGGCACAGGUUUCGAGCAUAUUCCCUGAACACUUGAAAAUCAGAAUCGGCGGAGGCGAACACUUGGCUUGGCAGGACAGCAGGUCUGGUUACCGGUUUCCACUGAGAAGAGAAAAUCAUCCCUCCUUGCUUUCUCUCUUCCCCGAAGUAGAGGAAGAGACUGCCCAAUUGCACUCAGAGUAAGAAGAUCAACUCAGUGCGAUGGGGCAAGAGAAGUGCCAUCAACGAAGCCCAAAGAAAGUUCGUAGAAGAGUUCCCUGGUGGCUCAGCAAGUUAAGGAUCCAGCGUUGUCACUGCUGUGGCUCAGGUCACUGUGGUUCAGGUCGCUGCAGUGAUCAUUGACCUGGAAUUUCAACCUGCUAUGGGUAUGCCUUUCCCCCCCAAAAGAGAAGAAGGACUUGUGGGAAAUCCAAAGAAAUGAGACUGUUCUGGUUCAAGAAAUAACUAGGAAGUGGUGUUUGAGAUGGGCCUAGAAAGAUGCCAACAGGCAGAGGGAUUUUCAGGUGGAGGAAAAUAAAUGUGAGAAGAAAGAAUGUGCA